Molecule: long non-coding RNA, 2487 nt
Organism: Camelus dromedarius (Arabian camel)
Lineage: Eukaryota; Metazoa; Chordata; Mammalia; Artiodactyla; Camelidae
Exons: 2
Source: RefSeq, a predicted model, not a curated record
CAAAAGACUCCCGCUGCCAUCUCAGGGCUCCUUAGCGCCAAAAAUGAACCUGCAGCAGCCACAGGUCAAGGCAUGCAGGGAGCGACCAAUCCACUCUAAACAGCCGGAGACCAGCGGAUUCUGGCUCCACCAAGCGGCGACGGGAGGAAGGUGAAGCUCCGAAGGUGGCCUGCUGUCCUGCUCUCUGUCACCAGGUCCCGUUGGGGGCUGGUCGGGUUCCUCUGCCGGGUCCCUCUCUCCUCUGGCUGUGAACUGGUCUGCACUUGCUUCCAAAGUGCUCCAGGCUCUGGGACAGGGUCUGUUUGGCAAGAAGACAAAGGGCAGGCGCCGACAAGUACUGGAAAGCAGUUCGUAAUUGAAAUCGCCGCGAUGGCCUGAGGACUCUCCCAGUACCGGGUAGAAAGGAAGCGGCCACGGCCCAGAAUCUGCCGGGCUCCCGCCAGGAGGCUGCAGCUCUGGCUCCAACUCUGCGCAAUCCCAAGCCUCCUUCUUGGGCUGGAGAAAAUGCUGCUCCAUCGCAAUUGACCUCUCGGACCAGCAGCAGGACACGAGCCUUUGCUCUGAUGGAGGAGGCAAAGCCUUCAGGAGGGCCAUGAGCCUUGGUAUUUAUGCACCGUGGGCGGAGGCAAGUCAGACAUCAAAAAAAUCGUGGUAGGAAAUAUGAGAAAAAUCAAUAGACUGAAUGGAAUACGAAUAAAUCGUACUGAGCACGACGAGCUGAAAUAAAUCGUUCUGAUGGGAAAAAAAAAUCGUAACCAGAGCUACAUUAAGUCGAAAGGAAACAGAAGAAUCGAAAGCAGGUCGGACUGAAUAAAACACGACAUGAACUGACUAUACGUCAAUUAAAAGGAAUGCAAAAACCGCAACAAACCCUACAGAGCACAGCGAACCGAAAUAAACAGUUCUGAUGAAAAAAUCGUAACCAGAGCUACACAAGCCGAAAACAAAUGGAAAAGCCAAAAGCAAAUCAGACGGAAUAAAAUACGACAUAAACUCACUAUACUUAAAUAAAAAAAGAAACAGAGAAACCGAAAGCAAACCCGACCAAACAGAACAGUGACAAGCCCUACAAGGGCACGGCCAACGGACGGUAAUAGAUCGUCCCGAUGAAAAACCGUAGCCAGAGGAAAACAGCCGAAAGGAAACGGAGAUGCCGAAAGGAAACCGGACACAAUGGAGUUCAGACAAAUCCUAGACAGCACAGCGAACCAGAAUAAGUCAUUCUGAUGAAAAAACAUAGCCAUGAAAACAACCGAAAGGGAACAACGAUAAGCAAACCCGACAGAGAAGGAGCCCUGCAAAACGCAGGGAGCUGUCGGCGCCCCUGCAGAGACCAGAAGCCACCGCUCUGGGCAAAAGGAGCGGUGCCGCCUCUGGCCGCUGGGGCUCCGCGCUGCUGGCCGCCUCGCGGACGAGAAACCGCAGACACGAUUGGCACUGGCAGCAGCCGACAGUGGUGCUGUGGCCCAAGACAAAUUACCCGUUAGAGAGCGAUCCGCUGUGCAGACAAAGAGAAACUGCCGGCUUUCAGAAAGGAGCAGCCUGAGACCCCGAAAACGCCCUGCGUGGAGGAAUGACCGGUGCCGCCUUAGAGCAAAACACCGUCUCAGUACAGGCAACUAGUCCCAGCCCAGUAAGAAGACUGAAGAGAUGGAAUCCCAUGCAUCCACCCUGGAAGAGCUGUCUUGGAGGUGGGCACAUCCAGAGCCCCACAUGCCACGAGGCCUGAACCCAGAACCAGGCCUGGGCCUGGGUUCUGGAACUUCCCUGCGCUGAGCUGCCCCUCCUGCCAAUGACCCCAGUCUUACGGGGACGGGCACUAUGGUACAUGUGGGAGGCCGCUUCGUGCUUGCACCGAGCAUGCAGAUGGUUCCCAAGUUGAGAGCAGCCAAAAACGCUGUCAAGACACACAAGCCCAGGAGCCAAUGGCUCAUCCGGGAUGGAGCAACAGUCCCACCAAGAAGAGGCCAAAGCUACAGACCGCGUAGCUCAACAGGGCCUGAACCAGUGAGGAGAUGCCAGCAGCAGCGGAGGUGGACAGACAAGCGGCCAGAUUGCCUCCCAGGAUCCCAAGACAGCCCCACCCACUCCCAUCCCCACCCCCUGAGACUGCUGAAAAAUGAGGCUUGAAACCCAGGAACUCCGCAAAGUAAGGAAGGAUGGCAGCCUUAUGCCCUGCCUCACGGCGACCCUUCAACCCAUGCCCUGGACUGGAGUCACGGAGUCACCCCAGUGGAGGCCCUCAUUCUGCCUGUCUGGACUUCUCCCCUGGCCCCAGCCUUGCUCGGGGAUGAGCCUCAGGGUCUUUGUAGUGCAGAACAUCCUUAUUGUCCUUUCAUUCCUGAAUUAUUGACAGGUUUUUCAAUAAGAAAUGUCUUUUCAGGGAAUCAAUACUAUCUUAAGGAAGUUUCUUGUACAUGUACUCAGAAUAUUCGUGCUUUUUAUGUUAAUUCCAAUUGUGCACAAUGAUUAAAGCCUGUUUCCUUA